Molecule: ribosomal RNA, 497 nt
Filed under: uncultured bacterium
Lineage: Bacteria
Description: partial 16S ribosomal RNA
Rfam family: Bacterial small subunit ribosomal RNA
Source: RNAcentral
GAUGAACGCUGGCGGCGUGCCUAAUACAUGCAAGUCGAGCGAACAGAUGAGGAGCUUGCUCCUCUGACGUUAGCGGCGGACGGGUGAGUAACACGUGGAUAACCUACCUAUAAGACUGGGAUAACUUCGGGAAACCGGAGCUAAUACCGGAUAAUAUAUUGAACCGCAUGGUUCAAUAGUGAAAGACGGUUUUGCUUUCACUUAUAGAUGAUUCCGCGCCGCAUUAGCUAGUUGGUAAGGUAACGGCUUACCAAGGCAACGAUGCGUAGCCGACCUGAGAGGGUGAUCGGCCACACUGGAACUGAGACACGGUCCAGACUCCUACGGGAGGCAGCAGUAGGGAAUCUUCCGCAAUGGGCGAAAGCCUGACGGAGCAACGCCGCGUGAGUGAUGAAGGUCUUCGGAUCGUAAAACUCUGUUAUUAGGGAAGAACAAAUGUGUAAGUAACUAUGUACGUCUUGACGGUACCUAAUCAGAAAGCCACGGCUAACUACGUG